GAAAACAGGAAGCCCGUUUCAGAGCUGUGUUUUGAAGCUGAACUUGCUGCAGACGGAGCCAAGCAAGUUUCCACCCCCUGAAAGCAGACAGGCUCCUGUCCUGUCCUCCGGGACCCGAGACCCGCCAUUACCUGCUAAAUGGAAAAGCGUCUGCGACUGCGGCGCCCUCCUGGUUGUUGGAACGAGGCCUGUUGGGAGGACUCUCCAGGGCAAGGGCUCCAGUUUGGGGUGAUCUCCAGGUGACAGAUCAGUCACAUCUGGAUACUGGGGGGCCGGGCACAAGCCAAUAGCUAAGCUGUGGUUAGUUCCCUGUCUCCGCAAGGAACUCAGAAUCACCCACCCACCUCCUGCGGGGAGGGUGACGUAUAAACCAGACUCACGAUUUUCAGUCCAGAACAGUCAACAGAUACGGGUGGUGUAUCCCGUACUUUUUACGACCCUAGUGAAGUGGGUGGGCAUUCACUGCCUUCCUCUGUAACCGUGACCAGGGCCCGGGAGAAAAGGAGGGAGGGGGGAGGAGAAGGGAGGGGGAUGGCAAGGUCAGCCAGGCCCGGGCCCUGAGACCCGGGGAGGGGGUGUGGUUUAGGGUUCAGGAGGAGCCUGUCACCCUGUGUCCUUAGAAGGCAGUUGUCCCUCACCUGUCUGCAGGGCACGGGGGCCAAGCUAAGGCCUGGCAGGCUCCUCCCCUCUGCCCCCAGCCCCCGCCUUCCCUGUCCCCAGCAGGCACAAGCCUUGCCCUCCAUCUUGCCUGUGCCUGGCCAAGCGGGGGACAGCUGGGAACCACUGUGAGGAGCGCUUUAUGACCAGGUGCCCAAUUGGGCGGCCGCUGCCUGCCCCGUCCUCCCCCUGAGCCUUAGCAGCAGGAUUCAGGGUCGAGGGUCUCGUGUGACCUUCGUGUGACCUUCGAAGAUGGGAUUCAUUUCCAAGCCCCACCUGCAGCUCCCCGGGAGGACGGGAGGAAGGAGGCCGCGGCUGUGCCUCGCACUCCGGCCUCAGGGCCCAGGAGGCUCCGCUCACACCCCAGCAGCAGGCUCGGGCCCUGGCCCCCGCCCGGCGGCCAGCUGGUGCUGUGGUGUGACCUGAUAAAUCAGUCAGUAAGAGUGUGAGUCACAGGUAUGGACCAGUAAAGAAUAGCUCAGAGAUACAAGACCUUGAUAAGUGAGAGAAGACCAAUAAGCAAGAACUGCCACAAUCAGGCCAAAGACUCCAUUUUGCUGCCUUCUAUAAAAAAAAAACAACGGUUACAAGCGCUGUUUCUGAGAAGCUGAAAUGAAAGCUGUUUUCUGUACUUUGUACCCCACAGGAUGUACCCCACAGGAUGUGGUGGUCUUGGUGACCCAAGGCUUUGAAGUAGAUUCUCGCCCCUGCGGACCACCUGCUCGGACUCAGGAUACGGUGUCCCACCUGCUCAGACCCUAGAUGCGACGUCUGAGUUGCUGGGCUGGUUGCCGCCUUAGCUUCCACGACUGGCUUGCUCGCAUGACACCAAGGAAAGUCCCCGAGCUGUGAUUUUCGUCCUUGAUUCCCAAGACCCAGCCCAGGAAGUCGCUGGUCUCCCCCCGGAGCUCCAGUCUCUGGGGUGGGUGACGGCACCCGGCCAGGAAACAAAGUGUCUUUGAUCUGAACUUGGAUUUAGAGUGUUUCUGAAGCGGGUCCCUAACACUGGCCACCACUCGGGUGUUCCUGGGCCCCUCGGGGGCUACGACCCACUGGGACAGGAACACGUGAGCGCACCUGGAAAGCGGUCCGGCCAGUCCCGUGGUUGAACUUGAACGUGGGGCUGGACCUGUGGUCACUCUUCUCAGGACGCGAUCGAGUUCUUCAAAUAAAUACUGUGAAUCUUCU
RNAcentral lists this long non-coding RNA (1845 nucleotides) under Marmota monax (woodchuck). The record is from RNAcentral. Lineage: Eukaryota; Metazoa; Chordata; Mammalia; Rodentia; Sciuridae.